GGAUCCUGUUUCAGGUCGGCUAGGAGCAGCGUGAUGUUGCCCACAUGGGAGAUUCGCGGGGCCUCCAGGUGUCCCCAGAACCACACUUCGGAGGGACAGAUGGGGCAGAAGGAGCCAUGGCUCCCAGAGCCUCCUGACUGGCUGGCGAGGUAGCUGGGAGGAGCCCUGGGGGUGUCCAGGCGGCCGGAGGUGGCAGGGCGGCACGGCAGUGUGGGGUCUCAGGUGGGGCCGGGAGGCGCUCUCGAUUCCUAAAGCAACCACGGCUGAGCUCCCAGGGGCGCCCGAGGGGCCCAGACCCUAAUAACGGAAAGCCGUGGAAACCAGGCUCUCGGCAGGAACAGAGCUCACGGCGCCCCACGGAAGUUCACGGGGACUGAGCCGCACGGGGGCGAAGGAUUUCGGGGACGCGAGGCAGAGAGAGACAGGAAGGAGGGACGGUGCGCAGGUGAGAUUGACGACCCAAAGGCCGGUGUCGUGGAAAUGAGCCAGUCACGUGACCUGUGGUCGUCCACGCAGCCCUGGAAACGCUCAAGACCCCGCACUCCGCCCAAGCGGACGUCUUAAGCCUCUGCUUCCGGUGCUGAGAGCUCUGAACACCCUGGAAGGCACCAAAGCUCAACGCGUACGAAAUUAUAUUUCAGCUUUUGCCAAAAUGUUUUCUGAACUGCUGCUCAAUUUGUUGUUUCAGAAGCACUGAGGCCUCUGCUAUGCUCUAUAUUAAAUCAAUUCAUUCAAAUGCAAUCUAACUAAAGUUUAAAAUUUACCCUGGCUGUUCUGCUUUAAAUGAUUAAGCAUUAUCCUUUAAAACACAGGUUUUAUAAAAGAAACCAAACCCAGCAGCUCAAAAUAUCUCAGCAGACACCAGCAUAAGGAAUCAGUAAAAUCCUCAACAGCUGAUCUGCCGCGAUUUAGGGAACCCAUGGAAGGAGACACCUGGUGGAGAGUUGGCUUGACAUUUAAAAACUAACUAUAGCUGGGAGGGUAGUGCAUGUUUGCAAUCCCAGCACUCCGGGAGGCCGAGGCAAGAGGAUCUCAAGCGCCAAUCUAGCCUGGGGAACUUAGCAAGAACUUGUCUCAAAAACAACAAAACCAAGACCUGCACAUCACAAAUUAAAAUUCCAAACAGCACCAGAAGGUACACCAUGAAAUAGCAGCAUCUUUGAUUUUCCAAUAUCCUCACCGGCAACUGGUUUUUGUCUGUUCUAUUCUCUCAGAACUCCUUUAGGCAUACCCUAAAC
This 1238-nucleotide long non-coding RNA is filed under the name Heterocephalus glaber (naked mole-rat). Its description in RNAcentral is "lncRNA (ENSHGLG00100050183.1)". The record is from RNAcentral. Lineage: Eukaryota; Metazoa; Chordata; Mammalia; Rodentia; Bathyergidae.